ACUUGGAACUAUUAGUGGAGAAGGAUAAAGUCUUCUGGUUCCACGAAUGGAAUUGAGAGGGAUUUAAAUUCAGUGCUUUUGAGUGUGGUGAAAUGAACACAGCAGUACAUUAAUGCUAGGAUUUGAGCUCACACAGCAUGAGAGCUUUCAAAAACCAUGUUUAAGGAAGCAAACAGAGCUACUACCAACCCUUUCAGAGGAAGCAAAAGAAGUCGGACAAAACAAGUGAGUACAAAUAAAAACUGCAACUGUGCUGGAAUUAGGUAGGAAGAAGAAAGGACUUGCUUUACCAAAGAACAUUCACAUAUGGGAUAGUGACAGCACACCCUGCAAAAGAUCAAAAUUGAAAUGGAAGGAGCUGAGUUCCUGGUAGAAGAGAUAUCCAAAUCAGAGGAAUAUUCUGUGGCUCCUAGCAAUGCAUCUGGAGGACGAUACCAGAGUGUCACUACUUCCGAAGAGUUUGAUGCCAACUUUUUGCCUCCCAGGAGAGAGCUGACCCAACAGGAGUGAGCAUCCCUACCUAUUUUGUGCUGCCUAGAAGUUAGAAGAUGCUUUCUAAUGACUGUGUCUCCCGGGGCCCCAUGUUUCCAAAGACCUGAUCUAGUCAAUGCAUUGGAUAAAUAAACCUGUGCACACAAAA
This is a non-coding RNA of Monodelphis domestica (gray short-tailed opossum), 640 nucleotides long. The record is from RefSeq and is a predicted model, not a curated record. Lineage: Eukaryota; Metazoa; Chordata; Mammalia; Didelphimorphia; Didelphidae.